Molecule: long non-coding RNA, 1104 nt
Organism: Oncorhynchus tshawytscha (Chinook salmon)
Lineage: Eukaryota; Metazoa; Chordata; Actinopteri; Salmoniformes; Salmonidae
Source: Ensembl
GAUGAUGAUGAUGAUGAUGGUGUAAUGGUUGUGUGGAUACAGUGAGUAAAACUAGUAAACGGGCUUAAUGAGAUGCGUUGAUCGUUAGACAGUCACACACACACACACACACAGAGGGAGAAAUAUGCUGCUCGUUACUGUAGAAACUGAUUGUCGUGGAGGAAGACAGGGACUUGUAAAGACCACCCUUUCUCAGGCCAGACAAUACAUCCUGUAUAAUCUGACAGAAUGGGAUAAUGCACCAGAUGUCAGCUGGGUGAUUAUUACAUAGCUCCACAUCUACGGUAUGUACAUGAUAGACAUACAGGGAUAAAAAGGAUCAUUUGUUAGGUGGAAGAUUACUUCACUACAUGGACCAUUAUGGACACACUGUAAAACAACAUACAGUAUGUUGGGACAGGUACUGCUAUCACAGGGGAUGAUGCUGUAGUGUGUUGGGACAGGUACUGCUAUCACAGGGGAUGAUGCUGUAGUGUGUUGGGACAGGUACUGCUAUACCAGGGAAUGAUGCUGUAGUGUGUUGGGACAGGUACUGCUAUAACAGGGGAUGAUGAUGUAGUGUGUUGGGACAGGUACUGCUACAACAGGGGAUGAUGCUGUAGUGUGUUGGGACAGGUACUGCUAUACCAGGGAAUGAUGCUGUAGUGUGUUGGGACAGGUACUGCUAUACCAGGGAAUGACGCCCUUGUCCGCAGGCCUGGGCAACUCCAGUCCCCGGGGACCUGAUUGGUCCCAACAAACACAACUGAUUUAAACGAAUUACAUUCUAAACUGAAGAUCAGAUUCAGUUGAUUAUUGGAGUCAGGUGUGUUAGCUGGGGACAAAAUGUGACACCAAUCAGGACCGUAGUUUCCCAUGGCCUGCGUGUGUUAACCUCCAUGCCAGUAGAGGGCAGAGCUGAGUAGGUGUUACCUGAAUAAACACUGGGGACAAUGAAGCCAAGCUGUAAGUCAGAGUGACCUCGUCAUGUUCUACUGGUCAACAUCCAGAACAGUAGCAACAUACAGUAAACCAAGGCCUGCCACCAAAAUGAUGAAAUGUACUGAAAUGUACCUGAGGGUAACUUUAAACAUUUCACUGAAUGAUGAUACAGUGGGGCAAAAA